UCAAGAAACUUCCACAAUGGGCGAAAGCCUGAUGGAGCGACGUCGCGUGAUGGACGAAGUGCUUCGGCACGUAAACAUCUUUUUAUGUGGGAUGAAAUUAUUGACAGUACCACAUGAAUAAGGGGCUCCUAACUCUGUGCCAGCAGGAGCGGUAAUACAGAGGCCCCAAGCGUUAUCCGGAAUCACUGGGCGUAAAGGGUGUCGAGGCGGUUGUAUUAGUCGUUCGUAAAAUCUACGAGCUUAACCUGUAGGCGGCGAACGAAACGGUACGACUUGAGGUUUGGAGAGGUGCGUGGAACUCACGGUGUAGGGGUGAAAUCCGUUGAUAUCGUGGGGAACACCAAAGGCGAAGGCAGCGCACUGGCCAAAAUCUGACGCUCACACACGAAAGCUAGGGUAGCGAAGAGGAUUAGAUACCCCUGUAGUCCCUGAGCGGGCUGGCAAGGCGCAU
RNAcentral lists this ribosomal RNA (451 nucleotides) under uncultured bacterium. RNAcentral describes it as "bacterial SSU rRNA". It matches the Rfam family "Bacterial small subunit ribosomal RNA", at positions 355 to 825 of the family's 1533-position model. The record is from RNAcentral.